Molecule: ribosomal RNA, 479 nt
Filed under: Pseudomonas asplenii
Lineage: Bacteria; Pseudomonadati; Pseudomonadota; Gammaproteobacteria; Pseudomonadales; Pseudomonadaceae
Description: bacterial SSU rRNA
Rfam family: Bacterial small subunit ribosomal RNA
Source: RNAcentral
GCCUAGGAAUCUGCCUGGUAGUGGGGGACAACGUUUCGAAAGGAACGCUAAUACCGCAUACGUCCUACGGGAGAAAGCAGGGGACCUUCGGGCCUUGCGCUAUCAGAUGAGCCUAGGUCGGAUUAGCUAGUUGGUGGGGUAAUGGCUCACCAAGGCGACGAUCCGUAACUGGUCUGAGAGGAUGAUCAGUCACACUGGAACUGAGACACGGUCCAGACUCCUACGGGAGGCAGCAGUGGGGAAUAUUGGACAAUGGGCGAAAGCCUGAUCCAGCCAUGCCGCGUGUGUGAAGAAGGUCUUCGGAUUGUAAAGCACUUUAAGUUGGGAGGAAGGGCAUUAACCUAAUACGUUAGUGUUUUGACGUUACCGACAGAAUAAGCACCGGCUAACUCUGUGCCAGCAGCCGCGGUAAUACAGAGGGUGCAAGCGUUAAUCGGAAUUACUGGGCGUAAAGCGCGCGUAGGUGGUUUGUUAAGUUG